RNAcentral lists this ribosomal RNA (298 nucleotides) under uncultured bacterium. RNAcentral describes it as "partial 16S ribosomal RNA". It matches the Rfam family "Bacterial small subunit ribosomal RNA", at positions 28 to 327 of the family's 1533-position model. The record is from RNAcentral.
GACGAACGCUGGCGGCGUGCUUAACACAUGCAAGUCGAGCGGUAAGGCCCUUUCGGGGGUACACGAGCGGCAAACGGGUGAGUAACACGUGGGUGACCUGCCCUCAGCUCUGGGAUAAGCCCGGGAAACUGGGUCUAAUACCGGAUAUGACUCCAUGACGCAUGUUGUGGGGUGGAAAGCCUUGUGCGGCUGAGGAUGGGCCCGCGGCCUAUCAGCUUGUUGGUGGGGUGANGGCCUACCAAGGCGACGACGGGUAGCCGGCCUGAGAGGGCGACCGGCCACACUGGGACUGAGACAC